AUGGCACUCGCCAUGGCCGCCGAGCUCCCGUUCUACCUGCUCCUCCUUCCCCUCGUAGCCAUAGUCCCGCUCCUCUACUUGGCGGUGUCCCGCGGGAGGCCCGGCUCCGGCCGGCGGCUGCCCCCGUCGCCCUGGGCGCUGCCGGUGAUCGGCCACCUGCACCACCUCGCCGGCGCGCUCCCGCACCGCGCCAUGCGGGACCUCGCGCGCCGCCACGGCCCGCUCAUGCUGCUCCGCUUCGGCGAGGCCCAUGCAGCGCCGCAUCAUGGAGGGCGCCGAGGGCCUCCUCUUCUCGCCCUACGGCGACGCGUGGCGCCAGAGCUCCUCAGCACCCACCGUGUCCACUCCUUCCGCCCCAUCCGCGAGGACGAGAUCGGCCACCUCCUCCGCUCCGUCGCGUCAGAGGCGUCGCCGGCGAGGCCGGUGAACCUGUCCGAGCGGAUAGCGGCGUUCGUCGCGGACUCCUCUGUGCGUGCCAUCAUCGGCAGCCGGACGCCGAACCGCGACACGUUCCUGAGGCUGCUGGAGGAGGGGCUCAAGGUCAUCCCUGGGAUGAGCCUGCCGGACAUUUUCCCGUCGUCGCGUCUCGCGAUGCGCCUCAGCCGCGUGCCCGGACAGAUCGAGCGUCGCCGUGGCGCCAUGCUCGGUUUCAUCAACACUAUCAUCGAGGAGCGCAAGAACAGAGACGCCGCCGCUACCAGCAUCGAGGAACACGACGAGGACUUACUUGACGUGCUCCUGAGGCUCCAGAAGGACAUGGACUCCCAGUAUCCCCUCACCACUUUGAACAUCAAAACCGUUAUCAUUGUGAGCUCUCUUUACAAUCAACAAGAGCUGAUGGCGGACCAAAACCUCCAUAAUGUUAGCAAAUUCUUUAGGACUAGCAUUAAACAUCGACUCAAUCUCGACAUGUUUGCUGCUGGCAGCGAGACCUCGUCCACGAUGAUCCAGUGGGCGAUGGCCGAGCUGAUGCGUAACCCGACGGUGAUGCAGAAGGCGCAAGAAGAGGUCCGGAGAGAGCUCGCCGGCCACGACAAGGUGACGGAGGAUGGCCUGACGAACCUGCACUACCUGCAGCUCGUCAUCAAGGAGACGCUCCGGCUGCACCCCGCGGCGCCGCUGCUCCUGCCGCAUGAGUGCCGCAGCCCGUGCGAAGUGCUCGGGUUCGACGUGCCCCAGGGCGCGAUGGUGCUCGUGAACGCGUGGGCAAUCGGCAGGGAUCCGGCGCACUGGGAUGCGCCGGAGGAGUUCAUACCGGAGAGGUUCCAGGAACAAGGUGGCAUGGGCGGCAGAGACUUCAAGGGAACGGACUUCGAGUUCGUGCCGUUCGGCGCUGGCAGGAGGAUGUGCCCCGGCAUGUCGUUCGGUCUGGCCCACGUCGAGCUCGCGCUGGCGGGGCUGCUGUUCCACUUCGACUGGCAGCUGCCGGAGGGGAUGGCCCCCGAGGAGAUGGACAUGACCGAGGCGGCCGGGAUCACCACGCGCCGGCGGUCUGACUUGUUGGUGAUUUGCAUCCCACGUGUCCCAGUGUCGAUGGAGUAUGUACGGUAUGGAUAA
This 1557-nucleotide ribosomal RNA is filed under the name Triticum aestivum (bread wheat). RNAcentral describes it as "partial small subunit ribosomal RNA". The record is from RNAcentral. Lineage: Eukaryota; Viridiplantae; Streptophyta; Magnoliopsida; Poales; Poaceae.